RNAcentral lists this unclassified non-coding RNA (331 nucleotides) under fungal sp. RNAcentral's name for it is "partial internal transcribed spacer region". The stretch from base 1 to 46 matches the Rfam family "Eukaryotic small subunit ribosomal RNA", at positions 1786 to 1831 of the family's 1831-position model. The record is from RNAcentral. Lineage: Eukaryota; Fungi.
AAGUCGUAACAAGGUUUCCGUAGGUGAACCUGCGGAAGGAUCAUUAACACGUAUCCAACGUUAAACAACCCUGUGAACUUUCAACCCCGCCGGAAUGAGAUUAAUUUCCAACUCCGGCGAAGACAAGUGACCUGGCACCUGACCUCAUCAAAGCUCUGACAGCGUGCCUCUGGAUGCUUAAUGGAAGGGUGACCACACGGCCGGCGACCGGGUCAGCGGCAUUCUUUAAUGCCCCUUAAAACCACUUAACAUGACGACAGUUCCUCUUUAACUUGAGUUGAGCUAUAACAAAAAACUAAUACAACUGUUAACAAUGGAUAUCUUGGUUCUC